Phascolarctos cinereus (koala) is the source of this 225-nucleotide non-coding RNA. The record is from RefSeq and is a predicted model, not a curated record. NCBI's taxonomy places the organism in Eukaryota, Metazoa, Chordata, Mammalia, Diprotodontia, Phascolarctidae.
AGCCAGCCUUGGAAGACACCCAAGAGAAGGCCUGAGGGCCAGGCUGGUACAUCCCUGCAAUCAUUUAUAUCUGAAUGACAGAAAGGAGUGUACAGGAAGGCAGGAUGGGAUUUCUCCUUCCUCCACUUCAACCUAGCAGAAAAUGGUGGCUUGCAGGAGAAGCACUGGGCAAAUGGUAUUUACGUGAUCAGGUCCAGAUUCAAGGAGUAGAGUCUGAGGGAAAGA